GGGUCACAAGUGGUACAUAGUGCUCUGAGUCUGUGUAAUUUAAUCUUCACAGCAGCAUUCUGAGGUGGGGACUCUCCUUAGCCCCAUUUUAUAGAUGCAGAAACAGACCUUUAGAGAAGUUAAGUCAAUUUGUCCACAGUCACAUGUUAGGCUCCUUUGUGGCAAUAGGGAGUUGAACCCAGCUGCUCUGACUCAGGUGCGGGGUGUUGUGCUGGGGUGUUGGAGAUGGAGAUGGGAACAUGGAUGCAGGAGCCACAUGGAGACAAAGCAAGACCAAGGGUGGUGGCUGGCUGAUCUUGGGGGAAGGGCAGAGUAGGAGGUGGUAGGGUUUGUAGCUUGUUGAAAGAGAAGGCACAAUUUUGGUGGCUGAAGUAGGGAAGGGGGAGGGGAAACCAGGGAGAGUGAGUGUGUGAAUUUAGAUGGUAUGUAUGUGGUUAUAGAGACUGAGGCCUGAGAUGUGCCAGGAGAUCCAGUAACACCCCUUCCUUUGUUUUAAGUCUUCCAUGCAUCGUCCCACUUAAUCUUUGAACCACUACGUGAUGUAGGAACUGUCCUUACCCCGAUUUAAUAGCUGAGGGAACUGGGGCCCAGAGAGCUUGAGUAAGUCAGUGCAUGAGUGUCACAGCCAGAAUCAGACUCCAGGCGGCCAAAUUCCUGGUCUGGGCCAAAGCAGACUGGGAACUAGAACUCAGUGGGGAGAUUGCCCCCUGGGAUAUAUUGUUGGAAGUAAUCUCUCCUUUUUUUAUUUUUCUGGGCACACCUGUGGCAUGUGAAAGCUCCCGGGCCAGGAUCAAACCUGUUCUACAGCAGUGACAACACUGGAUCCUUAACCAGCUGAGCCACCAGGGAACUCCUGCUCCCUCCUUUUGAACAGUUAUUGUCUGUAGUAUUCAUCUGGCAAUUAAUCAUGCAUUCCCCAUGACCUGCCUCUCCUUGCUGUCUGGAAAUGUGAUUUCCAUCACAUAUUGCUGUUCAACUUCUUGUACUGGGAAGACCACUGAGCCUGGAUAUCCUUCCUCCCAACCCCUAAGCACAUGCACCAUGGUUCCUCACAUUAGGGCUCCAUACAUGUUUGAAUGUCAUUUAAGGGGUCUCACCCUGGAGACGUUUAAGCAGGUGACCCUCAGGGAGGGGUAGGGAGAGGGAGGGAAGGCGGGGACAGUACUUAGGAUUGUGAUCACAUGGAUGUGGGAGAACCAAGAGAAGACUGAAGCCUAGAAAGCAUUCCUUUUGCACAGGUGAUGGAGAGACGGUGCAUCAGCCACCUGCAUAAGCUCUCCCUCCUACCCCACUGCCCCCCCGCGACCUUUCUCUAUGGACAUGUCCCUGUGACGUCCAGGUUGCACUAUCAGGGCUCACUUGACCACGUACUUCCCUCCUAACCAGGCGUUGUUCUGAGUGCAAGCAAGAAGCCAAGGGGUUUAGAUUGUGGGAGGCAGCGUGGCACUCUCAAUCGAAUUCUGACCCUGUGUCGCCAGCUGGGCUUUGUCUUGGGAACCUUUCCACAUGUCUACAUUUUCCCCUUUGCUGGAAGAGUGAGACUGAGAAGUAUUGGGUACCAUGAAGCAAGGGACUGUCCGAUGCAAGGACUGGGUGUCAGAGGCAAGUGGUCAGUCGCCUCACUUACUUGAGGCUCAGUUUCCUCAUCUGUAAGGUAGUGUUACUUACUUAUGUCGCUGUGGUGAGGCUGGUAAGAGCCUGGAUGGAAAUGCUUCAUCAGGACCGAGUGCCAAGCGGGGUCAGGGCUCCAUCCACGUGGGCUGGUCAUAGAACCGGAUGUCCUUGGGCGAGUGUCCAAAGGCCUCCCACUCUCUUGAACACCAAGGUGAAAGGCCAGUGUGUUCCUUUCUUUGCUUGGAUUUACGACACACGUUUCAUCACUUUGACUUUUUGACACUUUUCCUGGAUGAUUUGGUCCUCAUCGCCUGCUCUUCUCCUGGUCUCCUGAGGCACUUCCAAACCAUGUCAUUCCGCCCCCUGGAACAGGCACUGCCCCAUCCCCCCUUUCUCAGAAGGAAACGUGGCGGUCAGACGUUGGACCACGGCUGAGCCCUGUCAUCAUCCUCCUGUCUGUUUACCAAGUGUCCCAGGAGCUUCUGCUGACAAUUCCAGUUUCCACACGCAACAUUUGGGCAAUGGUGAGGGCUUCGGUCCCUUCUUUGGUUUGCUGUCAACCAUGAAUGGAUGGAUUUGAUGCCUGCUGGCCAAAAGGUGUCCCUCUGUGUGUUGCAGUCCUGUGGCAUUAUGCAUGCCCCCAGCCAGUGACCCCCCAGGCUUUUUAUGGCUGUGAGACACGUUAAAAGUUCAGGGUAAGUGAUGAGCAACACUCAUACUGUGGAUUACUUAAAGUUGACCUCCUGGAGUUGACUGGUGGCUCAGUGGGUUAAGGUCCAGCCUUAUCACUGCUGUAGUGUGAGUCGGUCCCUAACCCUGGGAACCUCUGCAUGCUGCAGCCAAAUCAAUAAAUAAGUAAAUGAAUAAAUAUUGCCCUCCACCUUGGCAGGUGACAUGUUAGUGGAUGCAGUAGUCUCUGGGAAGAUAACAGAAUGCCCGGUUAUCAAGCAUGAAUUCCACAGCCGACAGGAAUAGGUUUAUUGCCUUUCAUGAUAGCUUUAUGGAUUUCAAGAGUAGGAUUCAUACCAUGGAUGGUAUCUAGGGAAGGGUUGGCAAACUUGGUUUCUAAAGGGCCAGAUGGUAAAUACUGUCAACCCCAUGAGCCAUAGAGUUUUGUUUGUGGCCACCUCUGCUGAUGGAACCCAGAAGUAGCCAGGGACGAUAGGUAAACAGAUGGGCAUGACUGCAUUGCAAUAAAACUUUAUUUGUAAAAACAGGUCAUGGGCCAUGUUUGGCCUAAAGGCCUCAGUUUGCGGACACCUGAUCAAAGGGAGACAAGUGAUUUGUCAUCCAGGUACCUCACUAGGUAGCAGUCCCUCUGAUCUGGAACAAAUCGCGUAUUAAGGCGAAACAGGAAUUAAAAAAAAAUACUUGCCCUUACUACUGAGCUAGGAGUAGCAUGUAGUUACAAGAAUUAAAUAAGAUGUAAUGUGCGAGAAAGCUCGUUGAACAUUUCGAAACUCCUCACAGAUGGAAUGGGUGCACACUCUGCCGUCACUCUGGUUCACCGAGUGGGGUGAACCUUCUUCACCUUUUGAAUCACAUUGGCCUUUCUUGAGUGACAUGAUUGUGCGGGAAAGCACUGUGAUUUCCUAAGUCAUGUGGUUUGUAUGUGCAUUCCUUCUAUUGUUCAUUUGAUGGACAAGCUGUUGAAAUGUCUUUUUAGUAUCAAAUAUGGAUGAUACAGAUUGUGGUAGGCUACAGAUCAAAUGCCAAUGAAGAACUAUUAAAUUUCCUUUAAUCAUCAGAUCUUCCACCUUUAAAAUAGGCCUUGAUAAAUAGUAAUGUUUUGGAUGUCUACAAGUAUGUUUGAAUUUCACAAGUCUGGCAUGUCAAAACAGAGAGACAGGUUCAGCAAAUAUACUUCCCUGGGAUAGUGGUACUAAUUAAGGAGGAAAGUCAUGCUUAAACAAACAGCUUGGUGAAUAGAGGGGUAAUCAGAAUCCUAAUUCAUGAAUUUCCAAUAUUUUUUGACGGAACAGUAGAAUAGUCUUCAGAGAUGUUUUCAUGUCUUUACACCAUUGAAGAAUUGUCUGGUAACAGAGAUGCUACUGUAUAAGUUUAAAAAAUUAGCUGUGUAUUCUCUCUCAUAAAUGAUGUCUGUUGUGCUUUUUUUUUUUUUUUUUUUUUUUUUUGGGCUGCACCUGGGGUAUAUGGGGGUUCCCAGGCUAAGGGUCCAAUUGGAGCUGUUGCUGCCAGCCUACACCGAAGCCAGAGCAACACCAGAUCCUAUCUGAGCUGCAUCUGCAACCUACACCACAGCUUAUGGCAACGCUGGAUCCUUAACCCACCGAUCAAGGCCAGGGAUUGAACCCGAAACCUCGUAGUUCCUAGUUGGAUUUGUUUCCCCUGUGCCAUGACGGGAACUCCGUCUGUUGUGCUUUUUAUCUUUGUGCUCUGCCUGCUUGUUGAAGUAGUGCUUCAUCUUCAAGGUCACAUUGUGGCUACUGCCUCUCUGGCCAUUGCUUCUGCAUCCUGAAGAAGCAAAAGUACAGGGAACAAAGAGAGUAAUCUUCCUAGCUGAGGAAAGGCUCUUUAAAGAACUUUUCCUAAAGUCUUACUCAGUGGUUUCUACUUACAUCCUUUUAGCCACCCUUAAAUGUUAGAACAUAAGGCAUCUGGGAAUUGAUUGGCUCCUUAGCCUUGAGAGUUUGGAUGUCCCACAUAAAUUCCCAGUUCUAGUAGUAAUAAAGAAAAGGUGUAUGGUUAUUGAGCAGCAAUUGUGGUUACUUCCAUAAAAUUUUGUUACCAAUUUUUCUUAGGUGUCUAGUUUUUAUUUAUUUUGAUGAAUGCGUUCUUUCUUCCACUGAUUUGUGUGUAUCAUAUCUUUAUUGAAUCUUACAUGUUUGAACUUCAGCUUCUUCAGUUCUCAGCUGAGAUCCACAUCUCAGUAAAUAUUCUAGGACCGUAAUAUUCUUACUGAAAGUGCCAUGGCAAAUCUGAGAAAUACUUUGCUUUCUCAGGAGAGCAAUCAACCAAAAUUCAAACUCCCAAAUUUUCUAAUGGAUGUUCUCUUCUCUGGGUGGAAGAUUUUGUUAAAGCCUGAGGGCUAGUGUGAAGUCCUAGGACAUACAGGCCUGCACCCAGUUGUGUUCUUCCCAAUACGUGUGGGCAGUAUCAUGAUGGCUUUGUUGUGUCCCCCAGAGACUAGACAAUGCUAUUAUCCACUCUGCCUCUCUGAUUUGCUGCUAAGUGUCUCCUUAGCUUCCAGGAUAGGAGAGACCAGUGAGCCACUCCUGUCCAGUUUCUCUAUCCCACAUUAGCCUGUGAAAUAUUCUUGUGAAAUUUCUGUCUCACAGAAUGAGACUUCUCUAUGCUUCAUAACAGAGUCUCUGCCUAUACCAGCCUGUGAUAGAUGCUCAGGAGACGUGGUUGCCGAUGCAUUUCCAGACCUUUAUUGAAUGCCUGCUAUAGAUAGAGGAUAGCAAAGUGGAUAAGAGUGUCUGUAUUGAAGUGAAAUUGGCCUAGAUUCCAAUUCCACCUUUUCCAUUGACGGGCUGAGCGACCCUGGCUAAGUGACUUAACCUUUCUAGGCCAUGGCCUCCUCAUCUGGACAAUGGGGGAUACAAAUAGGAGCUAGAUUCCCAUAAAGAAUCACUGAGAUGAGGCUUGUAGGAGCUUGCGCAGUUCCUGGUAGAUAAUAAAUGCUGGCCUUGUGCUACACACACUAGGCGAUCUGGUGGAAAUCCUUGUCUUGGAGGAGUUUUUAACCACCCUCUGGCUGGUUCCUUGGUGGUUGUGUAGGCAAUGGAUAUUUCACUAUCCAUUGCUUCUCACCUGGUAUUCUGUGUAAGUAAAAAGCCCAAGGAGGUGGCUUUGCUGCCUGCCUUCAAGGACACCGCAGCCACGUACUUGUACAGCUGGACAGCCCUGCUAAUAGGACUUAGAUCUCUAGGUCCCGUUUGGACAAUUUCCCCUGAGAUGCAUGCGGUUCUUUUUUUAUUCUGUUUUUUACUUACUCAGACAAUGGCCCUGCCUAGCAAGCAGAAUUCACUAACUGCUUUCAAGUUGGUAUUGCUGAUGAUAAUCUGAAACUCAGUAAGGUUUCACUCUUGCGGGCUGACGCUACAUGAUGUCGCUCUUGCCAGCCUCAUCCCACUCCCUGCCUCUGUGCUGAGUCUGCAGAGCAGCCUCUGGUCCCCCACACGUCUUCCUGGGAAUGGCCCUCAAAGCACAGGGUCAUCUGCACAUAGAAGCUGCCACCUGAGUGGUGGAGAUUGUCAGUAUUGCUCAUAGAUGGCAUGGUUGGCCGUGUGUCCCAAAGAGUGAGAAGCAUUGAGCCCCACCACCUGUGCCGCAGCUUGCAGCAAUGCCAAAUCCUUAACCCCCUGCGUGAGGCCAGGGAUCGAACCUGCCUCCUCACCAAGACUACGUUGGAUCCUUAAUCCUCUGAGCCACAAUGGGAACUCUGGUUUCAGAUACUUUAAUUAGACCCCGUUCCCAGGUUCAGAUGCAGUAAAAUCUCGCCUGCCUUUGGACCAUGGGAUUCUCUGCCUGGAACCAUUUCUGCACAUCACAGGGCUAAUUCCUUCUCAUCCUUUUUGUUCAGUUCAAAUACCACCUUCUUGGGCUGGCCUUCCUUGACUGCCCGCGUUAAAAAUGAUAUCCCUCUUCCCCCUCCUCCCCCUCCUCACUAUUAGCCACUCAGGUCUUUUGUCUCUUUCAUUGACUACGGCUUCUGUCACUUUCUGAAUAUACCUGUUUACCAGGUAAUAAGCAAGGGGAAGGUCUGUCUGAUUCAGUGUGGCUUCCUCGUGGCUGACAGUGAAUAGUAGGCAUGCUGGCAGUCAGUAUUUAUUGAAUCAGGCAGCAGACAUUUGGGGAUUUCCCUGUGAAUUGCUCUAUUUCGUGGUACCUAAGAGAACUCCAUCUGGAUGAGAGAGUAAGAAAAGAAAGAAAACCAUACACAUCACCUUUAUUAUAGGAAUAGAAUGCCGCCCUUGGGCUUUCUCUGGAAAGUUUCCUCUCUGCGUUGGACAAGUCUCUGAUACUCCACGUGUCCCGUCCGGAAAGGCUUAUACAUCAUCUUCCCUGUGAACACAGAACGUUUGCCAUUUGGUUCUAAAGCGUAUGGUGGGUGGUACAAGUUAAUUAAGGUUGUUGGAUUUCAAGCCGAAAUCCCAGCACUCUCCUUCACUGGCUCUUUGUUCUUGAACAAAUGACUUCCUUUCUUUGGUCCUCAGUUUCCUUACCGGAGGCAGGGGAAACAGCGUUACCUGGCUCACAGUGUUAGUGCGGGGAUUAAAUGAGAUGAUAGGUAUUUAGUGCUUUGCACAGGAUCUGAAACAGAAUAAUAACACUAUUGAUUGAGAAAGAUGAUCAAAAGGGUAUUGGAAAUGACACUGACAAGACUCAAACUGCACUAUCUUGUAAAUCAUCGUUUGAAAAGUGACAAAGAUAGUGAAGAGCCUUGAUUGCCUUUUGUACUGCUCAUUUCAUGCACUGAAUUAACUUUAAAGAGUGCAGGUAGGCCUCCUUGCCUACCCGCUUGCAUCUUUCACAAGUGUCCUAUCUUAGUAAAUCUAUUUCUUGCUUAAAAAAAAAAAAAUCGUGGAGUGCAGAGUGAGCAAGCAGUGGAAUGAUUUAUAUUUGUUGAUGACAUGUUGAUUCUUGGAUGUUAGUGGUUUGUUUCAGAGCCACUUAUAAAUUCCAGUGCUGAUAUGGCUCAGUGUUUGGAGCCUGACCCACAUCCAAAAAACCUUGAGAAUUGGGAGUUCAGGGUCCUGCCCUGUCCUAAGCCACCUAACUGGAGAGGUCUUCCUUCUUCAGGUUGAUCAGAGCUGGUUUGAUCUCCUGCUUCACAAUAGAGUAUGUCUUAAACUCCCUGUAAAUCCUAAUUUUAAAAUACAUUGUGUCCUUAAUGUCUGUGUCCUGAAAAUUCACUUACCUCUUUUUGAAAGACAAUUCAAGUCUACAUAGAUUGAGAGGAGGUGGAUAUAAAUAUCUUUUGUUGUGAGCUCUGACUUCUUUCACAUGCUUAAGGCGGGAGGGUAUGUUACAGCUAUUACAUUAUAUUAAUACAGUUUGUGCCUGCUGGACCUGUUGUGUUCAGUGAGCAUUUUCUGUGUGAAUGCUGAAGCUCAGAGAGGGACUUACCUCUCUCUGGAUCCCCAGCUUUUGUGAUAAAAGAUGAAAUACAUUGUCACAUACUCUCGUUUCUGGCCUUUUAAAUUAGGAAAACAGAGUUCCCAUUGCGGCUCAGCAAUAACAAACCUGACUAAUAUACAUGAGGAUUCAGGUUCGACCCCUGGCCUCACUCAGUGGGUUAAGGAUCUAGAGUUGCUGGGAGCUGUAGUGUAGGUUACAGAUGGCAGUGUGGAUCCCGCAUAGCUGUAGCUGUGGUGUAAGCCAGCAGCUGCAGCUUCUAUUCGACCCCUAGCCCGGGAACGUCGAUAUGCCUCGGGUGGGGCCAUAAAAAAGACCAAAAAAAAAAAAA
Molecule: long non-coding RNA, 8050 nt
Filed under: Sus scrofa (pig)
Lineage: Eukaryota; Metazoa; Chordata; Mammalia; Artiodactyla; Suidae
Description: lncRNA (ENSSSCG00050037628.1)
Source: RNAcentral